Molecule: long non-coding RNA, 267 nt
Organism: Pundamilia nyererei
Lineage: Eukaryota; Metazoa; Chordata; Actinopteri; Cichliformes; Cichlidae
Exons: 3
Source: RefSeq, a predicted model, not a curated record
ACGCUGCAGAGAGUCUGUGAGGGCGGCUCAUUGUCUAUAACGAUGAACAUAAUAAUUGCUCUUCUGUGUGUUCUGACAAAUCAGGUCAUAAGCCAAACCGAAGAUAUUUUUCCUGCAAAGAUCCUGGCGCAGCAGACGAUUAUAAGUGAAAACAGUGACCUUUAUGUAACAUGCAGCACAUUUGGGAGAAAGAAAGACUCCAUGGUUCAUGUUUAUUUGUUAAUAAAUGGGCGCGGAAUCCAGUAUCUCACCCAGAAACAAGAUCAA